GUGCUCACUUUGGCAGCACAUAUAGAAAGUUGGAAUGAUACAGAGAUUACCAUGGCUCUUGCACAAGGAUGCAUGUACAUUCACGAAGUGCUCCAUAUAGCA
Small nuclear RNA from Nannospalax galili (Upper Galilee mountains blind mole rat), 102 nucleotides. The record is from Ensembl. NCBI's taxonomy places the organism in Eukaryota, Metazoa, Chordata, Mammalia, Rodentia, Spalacidae.